Triticum aestivum (bread wheat) is the source of this 1739-nucleotide long non-coding RNA. RefSeq lists it as uncharacterized. NCBI's taxonomy places the organism in Eukaryota, Viridiplantae, Streptophyta, Magnoliopsida, Poales, Poaceae. The record is from RefSeq and is a predicted model, not a curated record. The transcript has 3 exons.
UCUAAAACAACAAAAGUUAGUAACCAAGGAGCCUCAAAGAUGUAUCUUAAAGUAGUACAAUUUUGGGGGAAAAGGAACCAAAUGGAAGAGACGAAGCUGAUGAACAAAUGACACAGUAGCAUGUUAGAAAUGAUCAACUGAAAUAGCUUGGAUCUAAAAUAGAGAAAAUCAUUGGUUCAAGCACGCAUAUUUAGGAAAAAGGCUACUCAACUUGAAUGAAACAGACAAUCUGUUUGUUAGAUAGAGAAGGCUGCAGCUCGCCUUGGUCGUGUUGGUUGUUCGGAAGAAAGCAAAGACGUGGAGUUUAAGCUAGGCAUCUGGUUGUCUCUUCUUUCGAUGAGGAGAAGCUGUAUUAGCACACUGGACGAGACAUGAAGUCUCUUUGCUUCCUCAAGACCCAACAAACUCCAGUGUGUCUUUAUUGGUAUCAUACUAUAAAUAUUAAUCUUGGUAGCUUGUGCUUCAACUACCUUAACCUUACCAGUUAAUAAGCAGAGACUAAUACAAAAUCAUGGGUAGUGACCUAAAUAUCCCUCGUGUUGCUGUAAUUUUCUCAGAAAGUGCAAGAAAUCAUAAGUUGUUGAAAGUGAUUCAACUUAUAAAGCUAAAAGUAAGUUCUCUGAACAAAAGGCAGAAAAUUAUGAUCCCAUUUUUCAAGGAUAUAUUUUUUAAUUCUUUAAAAGUAGGGGUGAUAUGUGUGUCUUGACAGUAGCACUAAAAGCUUGAAGAGAAGAGAUGUGAAGAGAGCAUUACCAAGAUUAAUUCUUUUUGCCAGAUCAAAUGAAGCAAAUGUUGCUCAGAAACUAGUAGCUCAAAAGCAUCGUUGAGAAGAGUUGGGGUGCUAUGCCUAUAAUUUGUAGGGACUAGAGAAGACUAUGGUCUGAACUAGCAAGCAAAAUGUAACUGGCAUGUGAAGUGCAAGGGAGGUCAAACUGUCAAAGCUAAGGGCUAUCAUAUCUUCAUCAUUAAGAACAGAAGACCUGAAAGAUGGGAAACUCACACUCUUUGAACUUGGCAUCUUUGCUGUUACUCUUCCAGCCGGAAGUUGGGAAAUGCAAGUCAUGCCUUCUCCAUUCUUCCGUAUUUUGUGCAUGUACCGGUACACACUUCGCUAGGAGAAACAAACUGUACGACUACUUAAAAGAUUGGAGAAUUUAAAGAAGUGCAUAUAACUGAAUCAUACAACCGCUCUCAAAGUCAUCUACAUAACAAGACAAAGGAACCACCCUGGCUAUGUGGUACCGACAUUGUGAUCCUAUCUUUUCAUCCUUUUGACUUAUCAGGAGCCAAGAUACAGGGAGCAGGAGUUCAAUCUCCAUGCUUUUGAGUGAUUUUGUACCUGUGAGAGCUGAGCGAUCUGUUAACAGAACCAUGUUGGAACUACUUCAUGGUCAAUCUUGGGAUGGAUUGCCUGCCAACCGAUGGAGGUUACGGUAUUAUUAUCUACUAGUUGCAUAAUUCUCUUUCCUUUCGGUGAUACUGACCGACCUGAAGGAAGAGAUCCCGAGUGCUAUGGCAAAGUCGUCAACGGAUUCUUCCUUGAGCACCCCCAAGGCGUGGUACCACCGAUACAACGGGUGGACUCUCGAGUCCAUGAACUCGCUGCAUCGACAUGAGAAAAACCGUUUGGGCGGGAUUUGAUCCCAGCCACUUGUUCUGCCAAAAGUACUGUAACGCAAGAAUAUUCUUGUGAAGAUUUUUUUUUCCUGUUUCUGGAUUUGGGACUGGAUGCAAUUCAA